Misgurnus anguillicaudatus (oriental weatherfish) is the source of this 2801-nucleotide non-coding RNA. NCBI's taxonomy places the organism in Eukaryota, Metazoa, Chordata, Actinopteri, Cypriniformes, Cobitidae. The record is from RefSeq and is a predicted model, not a curated record.
CGGGUAGAGAAAUAGUCCCAAUAUCAUAACAAUCUUAAAUAAAACUUCUAAAUAUGCCCGUGUGUGUACCCGUGUGCGCGCGCGCGUGUGUAUGUACAGUAUGUGCGUGAGUUUUUAAUUUCAAAUGUCUUAACUUAACUCGGAAGGAUCUGAAUGACAGGUCAUUUCAUCUGAGAUCAUUCCGCAUGUAACAGCCGGAAUCACUCACUGUUUCCCACAACGACACGAGUCAUCAGCCGUUUCCUCAAGGUCACGUCAGGUAAGUGUUUGUAAAUAAAUGUUAAUUUUAGACUAUAUUAAUUGGCAAAGACGCAAAUACUCGACGUUUUUGUAAACAUAUAAGUUAUAUAAAGGUGUGUUAUGUUAUGUGACCGACUUAAAGUGUGUGUUACGUUAUGUGUCCGAGUUAAAGUGGAGCUAUUUUAGUUAAGAUAAUACCGGACAGGGUUUAGGACUCCGUCUUAAUUAUAAUUGGGACAUUUUUACAAACAAACCUUAUAAAAUACAAUACUAGUGUGCAUUUUGAGACAAAACAAUAGCACUCAUAUGUUAACAGAUGUCAGUAUUUUAGUCAGUGAUAAGUCCUGUCCGAGAAAACCGCCCAAUAGUGUUUAAUUCAAUUACGUGUGAUGUCUGAGGGAAACUUGGCAAUUUUAGGGUAUAAAAUCUUUCACCGUCAAGCUUUAUUAUAUUAAACAUGUUAUUUAUGUAUGUGUGUGUGUUUAUAUUCCUCUGUUUAUUAAACCAGAGGGGUGGUGAUGUGGAGAGGCAGACCAGACCACCACCAUACGCGAAGAUGAGCCUCGAGGCGUGACAGUUAUUUUUUCAAACUGAGGAGUUCGGACUCCGGACUGUCAUUUCUGCUUGUUUGUACCCUGAGAUAACCAUGGUUAAUAAAUGGUCAGACACGUCACUGGCUUUAAAAUAUAAACCCCAUUGAUGCAAAAAGAUGCUGCAUGGAAUGACAAUGUGGUUUGGAACAGACUUGGUGAAGAACAUGGAAACAUCUCUUAAUAAAAUGGCCCCAAACAUCAUCAGGAGUGCAAAAGAAGCAAGUAAAAACAUCUCGUCGCCAAUCUCAUUGGAGAGGAAACCACAGAAGGUCUGGUGAGGAAUGCUGCACUUAUGUUAUUGCAAGCAUUAUUUCAAGAAAAUCCCAGCUUCCUUUACUGUGUAAAUAGUGAACCCAAAGGUCCCACACCAACCAUAGUGUUCAACGGCUCUCCUGAUCUUUUCAAAUCUGAAUGUAUCAACUUUAUAAUGGACAAUGUGAACUUAAUAUGUGGAAGACAUUGACAUCACAGGCUGUGGAAUGACUGUGUCACAGGUCGGAGAAGCGGACCGCCCCUGUCGCGGAUCACGCUCCUCCUAGUUCCACCUCGAGGAGGUCCCAAAGCAUCCCAAUGACCAGACAAACCAGAGGGGGAGUAUUACGGGGCCAGGGACGUUGGAGGGGUUUCCACGUGACUCCAGCUGGAACACCGCUACAGAGCGUAUCUGGGUGGGCUGGGCACACACCGUCGCGGCGGCCCUGAUGGCAUCCACAAGGGUCCAAGAACCUCCUAAGCUCCUAGCCGUAGCAGAACUACGUAUUUCAGCACCCGAAGGACUAACAACCCAGCCGGCAUCUGCAGCGUAUAUCCAACGCGAUCAAACUUCACUCUGACAAGUAACUUCCUAUACACAACCAUGCCGUCCUUUCGCCCGGACCAGCCCCGCACUCUUUCCGCCCACUACCUAGCGGUUGCCGGAUCAGCAGAGCCUGCGGACUCUUCGGAGGCUGGUCUUCGUUGUGAUGCCCAAGGCGGAAGUUGACUCGCCCAAAAAUCGACCCUUCCAGUAACUUCUACCUUCUCUCUUUAUAUCCUCCUCCCAGGCGUGGCUCGCCCAACCAUCGCUCGCCACGUCACUCACACAGCUGUGCCUUGUUUCAGCGAGUGCGGGGAUUCCCGGGGAACCCUGAGGUGCCGGUGUCUGUACAAACCGGUCCGGGCGGAACCUCUUCACUCUCCUUUUGGUUCCGCCCCACAUAGUCACUCCGUGACAACUGUUUGCGUUUUUUUUUCUCCUCAAUGUUCAAUACCCUUUUGCCAUUAAGCACACAGUGACUUUAAUUUAUAAAAUAUAUGCUUAAGUUUUAAUACCUGUACAAAACAAAUGUACAAUCAACUUGUGUAAAUUGUCAUUCUAUUUAAUAGAUUGUUCAUGAAUUGUCUUUAAAUGCAUUGUGAUUUCGGUAACACUUUACAAUAAAGUUCAUUAGUUAACAUUAGUUAAUGUAUUAACUAACUUGAACAAACCAUAAGCAAUACAUUUGUUACAGUAUUUAUUCAUCUUUGUUAAUGUUAGUUGAUAAAAAUUUAAGCUUUAAUUGCUUGUUCAUGUUAGUUCAGAGUGCAUUAACUAAUGUUAACAAGAUUUUAAUAAAGUAAUUGUUGAAAUUAACAUUAACAAAGAUUAAUAAAGGCUGUAUAAGUGCAGUUCAUUAUUAGUUCAUGUUAACUAAUGUAGCUAACUAAUGUUAACUAAUGAACCUUAUUGUAAAGUGUUACCGUGAUUUCUUUUCAUCAUUUCAGACACAUGUAAAAGUUACUAAAAAUUAAUACUGCAUAUACUGUACAGUAUCUAUGCGUAAGGGAAAUAACUUAAACAAAAUUUUUAAUGUAUAGUGUAAUUAAGAGUUUAGCUGUUUAAUACAGAGAUGCAAUUUAUUUAUAUAUAUUAUUUAUAUAUAAACGUAUGUAUGUUUAUUAAAAAGUGAAAAUGCUUAAUGGAAAUAAUUAAAUAACUAAAUGGUUGAA